This 301-nucleotide ribosomal RNA is filed under the name uncultured bacterium. RNAcentral describes it as "partial 16S ribosomal RNA". It matches the Rfam family "Bacterial small subunit ribosomal RNA", at positions 509 to 807 of the family's 1533-position model. The record is from RNAcentral.
CAGCCGCCGCGGGAAUACAGAGGGUGCGAGCGUUAAUCGGAAUUACUGGGCGUAAAGCGCGCGUAGGUGGUUUGUUAAGUUGGAUGUGAAAUCCCCGGGCUCAACCUGGGAACUGCAUUCAAAACUGACUGACUAGAGUAUGGUAGAGGGUGGUGGAAUUUCCUGUGUAGCGGUGAAAUGCGUAGAUAUAGGAAGGAACACCAGUGGCGAAGGCGACCACCUGGACUAAUACUGACACUGAGGUGCGAAAGCGUGGGGAGCAAACAGGAUUAGAGACCCCGGUAGUCCCUGUCUCUUAUAC